RNAcentral lists this ribosomal RNA (460 nucleotides) under uncultured bacterium. RNAcentral describes it as "partial 16S ribosomal RNA". It matches the Rfam family "Bacterial small subunit ribosomal RNA", at positions 338 to 795 of the family's 1533-position model. The record is from RNAcentral.
CCUACGGGAGGCAGCAGUGAGGAAUAUUGGUCAAUGGGCGCGAGCCUGACCCAGCCAAGUCGCGUGAAGGAUGACUGCCCUACGGGUUGUAACCUUCUUUUAUAAAGGAAUAAAGUGAGGCACGUGUGCCUUUUUGUAUGUACUUUACGAAUAAGGAUCGGCUAACUCCGUGCCAGCAGCGGCGGUAAUACGGAGGAUCCGAGCGUUAUCCGGAUUUAUUGGGUUUAAAGGGAGCGUAGAUGGGUUGUUAAGUCAGUUGUGAAAGUUUGCGGCUCAACCGUAAAAUUGCAAUUGAUACUGGCAGUCUUGAGUACAGUUGAGGUAGGCGGAAUUCGUGGUGUAGCGGUGAAAUGCGUAGAUAUCACGAAGAACACCGAUGGCGAAGGCAGCUUACUAAACUGCCACUGACAUUGAUGCGCGAAAGUGUGGGUAGCAAACAGGAUUAGAUACCCUUGUAGUC